AUAAGCACUUACUGAAGAGUGCUAAACAGGUUUGGGUCAGGCUCGUAACGUAAAACAAACGCUACCUGGGAGGCAACCCAGUUGAUUGUUGUUUUUAAUCCUGUGUUAAGUGCAUUGCAUGUUAAUGAUUGCAUCUGAGAGGGGAAAGACAUAUAUUUGAAAAAUUGAACGUUGAAAUUGAGUGUUAUAAGGAAAGAUUACUCAAAAGAAAGCAAAAGAAGAAGAAGUGAAAUUAAGCGUAGACCGCUGAGCGGUCCAUUUUACCGCUGAGUGGUUGCGGCGUUGAGGGUCUCGGUUUUGCUUAAAAGUUGAGCGGUUUUUCAAAUUUUUCACUUUGAAACCCUUCUUUGCAUUUCGCCUGAGCGGUCUCCCUAAGUCAUAGCACUCUCCUCUCACUUUCAAGAGCUUUUUGGAGAGAUUUCCUCACUUUCUCUUCACCCACUCACCAAAAAUUCAAUUUUCUACCAUUGCUUUGUUAAAUUUUGGGGUUUUUGGUUGAGGGACUUGCAUUGGAGAGGACAUCCAUCAUCAAUUAAGCAAUUUUUCUGCAAGCAUUAACAAUCUCC
This 566-nucleotide long non-coding RNA is filed under the name Vigna radiata. RNAcentral's name for it is "long non-coding RNA (VRAD_LNC013144)". The record is from RNAcentral. Lineage: Eukaryota; Viridiplantae; Streptophyta; Magnoliopsida; Fabales; Fabaceae.